Biomphalaria pfeifferi is the source of this 706-nucleotide non-coding RNA. The record is from the annotation of a GenBank genome assembly. Lineage: Eukaryota; Metazoa; Mollusca; Gastropoda; Planorbidae.
AAGUCAAUUACUGGUAAUUGGUUAUUUUGUACCAUUUUUAUACCAACAAGGGAAAUUAAUCUUUCAGUUUUUUAGGUAUGGCUAAAUCUGUAGGGUUUGGUCCCCUUAGAUAAUUGUUAACAUUAUUUCUCCCACAACCAUUCUCGGAUUAAGUUGAAACACAAAACAAUUAUCUAUUGUACCUAACAAAAUAUUAUUCAGUUAGUCAAUGAAUUAUUGGUAAUAAAUUAUUUUAUUGAAUAUUGAGGAUAUAGCUGUCACUAUGGAGUUCUUCCUCUUAGAUAAGUUUGUUUUUUUUAGGAUUUUUAAAUAUUUUGCUUGUUUACUUUUUACUCUUCAAUUUUACAAUAUGAAUCUAGAAAGUGAUUCACUUGGAUCCUCUGAUGUAGACUUCGUUGAAAUGAAGGUUAUGUUGACUUUGUAGACACAUUUCAAGUGUUAUGUCUAGUAUAUAAAUGUCUAUGUUGUGACAACUUUUUAAUAAACUCUGUGGAGAAUAUUUUUAUGUACAAUUAAUUGUUAUAAUUUAAUCAGAUGUUAACUCAUUAUUUUACUACUAUUUUUAAUUAUUUAUUUAUUUUUUUUAUCAUUGUUGAAUGCUAGAGAAAAAAUUGACCUGAUGUAGGUUUUUAGUACAUUAGGAUUUCUUGGCGCUAUCAACAUUUAGUUUUAGUGUAAGAAAAAAUAUGGGGGUGGGGGGGGGGGG